Molecule: ribosomal RNA, 1424 nt
Filed under: Klebsiella pneumoniae
Lineage: Bacteria; Pseudomonadati; Pseudomonadota; Gammaproteobacteria; Enterobacterales; Enterobacteriaceae
Description: bacterial SSU rRNA
Rfam family: Bacterial small subunit ribosomal RNA
Source: RNAcentral
CCUAACACAUGCAAGUCGAGCGGUAGCACAGAGAGCUUGCUCUCGGGUGACGAGCGGCGGACGGGUGAGUAAUGUCUGGGAAACUGCCUGAUGGAGGGGGAUAACUACUGGAAACGGUAGCUAAUACCGCAUAAUGUCGCAAGACCAAAGUGGGGGACCUUCGGGCCUCAUGCCAUCAGAUGUGCCCAGAUGGGAUUAGCUAGUAGGUGGGGUAACGGCUCACCUAGGCGACGAUCCCUAGCUGGUCUGAGAGGAUGACCAGCCACACUGGAACUGAGACACGGUCCAGACUCCUACGGGAGGCAGCAGUGGGGAAUAUUGCACAAUGGGCGCAAGCCUGAUGCAGCCAUGCCGCGUGUGUGAAGAAGGCCUUCGGGUUGUAAAGCACUUUCAGCGGGGAGGAAGGCGUUGAGGUUAAUAACCUUGUCGAUUGACGUUACCCGCAGAAGAAGCACCGGCUAACUCCGUGCCAGCAGCCGCGGUAAUACGGAGGGUGCAAGCGUUAAUCGGAAUUACUGGGCGUAAAGCGCACGCAGGCGGUCUGUCAAGUCGGAUGUGAAAUCCCCGGGCUCAACCUGGGAACUGCAUUCGAAACUGGCAGGCUAGAGUCUUGUAGAGGGGGGUAGAAUUCCAGGUGUAGCGGUGAAAUGCGUAGAGAUCUGGAGGAAUACCGGUGGCGAAGGCGGCCCCCUGGACAAAGACUGACGCUCAGGUGCGAAAGCGUGGGGAGCAAACAGGAUUAGAUACCCUGGUAGUCCACGCCGUAAACGAUGUCGAUUUGGAGGUUGUGCCCUUGAGGCGUGGCUUCCGGAGCUAACGCGUUAAAUCGACCGCCUGGGGAGUACGGCCGCAAGGUUAAAACUCAAAUGAAUUGACGGGGGCCCGCACAAGCGGUGGAGCAUGUGGUUUAAUUCGAUGCAACGCGAAGAACCUUACCUGGUCUUGACAUCCACAGAACUUAGCAGAGAUGGUUUGGUGCCUUCGGGAACUGUGAGACAGGUGCUGCAUGGCUGUCGUCAGCUCGUGUUGUGAAAUGUUGGGUUAAGUCCCGCAACGAGCGCAACCCUUAUCCUUUGUUGCCAGCGGUCCGGCCGGGAACUCAAAGGAGACUGCCAGUGAUAAACUGGAGGAAGGUGGGGAUGACGUCAAGUCAUCAUGGCCCUUACGACCAGGGCUACACACGUGCUACAAUGGCAUAUACAAAGAGAAGCGACCUCGCGAGAGCAAGCGGACCUCAUAAAGUAUGUCGUAGUCCGGAUUGGAGUCUGCAACUCGACUCCAUGAAGUCGGAAUCGCUAGUAAUCGUAGAUCAGAAUGCUACGGUGAAUACGUUCCCGGGCCUUGUACACACCGCCCGUCACACCAUGGGAGUGGGUUGCAAAAGAAGUAGGUAGCUUAACCUUCGGGAGGGCGCUUACCACUUU